UGCGUAGGUGGCUGCGUAAGUCAGUUGUGAAAUCCCCGGGCUUAACCCUGGGAACUGCAAUUGAUACUGCGUGGCUAGAGUUUGGGAGAGGGCAGUGGAAUUUCCGGUGUAGCGGUGAAAUGCGUAGAUAUCGGAAGGAACACCAGUGGCGAAGGCGACUGCCUGGCCUUUAACUGACACUGAGGCACGAAAGCGUGGGUAGCGAACAG
This 209-nucleotide ribosomal RNA is filed under the name uncultured bacterium. Its description in RNAcentral is "partial 16S ribosomal RNA". It matches the Rfam family "Bacterial small subunit ribosomal RNA", at positions 568 to 775 of the family's 1533-position model. The record is from RNAcentral.